UCAUCAUAUGAGGUGGGAUCACCCUCCAUAUGAAAUUCCUCUGUGUUAAAAACUUCAUAGUCAUCUGGGAUAGCUGACCUUCUGAUUCUUUGAGAUCUUCUCGGUGCCUCCACAGUUGGCACUUGAUCUGGUUGGGGCUGUUGUUGCUCCCCCUCGCCUGUGGCAACUGGUUCUUCUAUGGGCUCCUGAAGGACAGGUUCCUCAUUUUCAUCUGUUGUUGCCACAGGAGAGUGAGCAAUUGUUUCUGGCAUCACAGUGUCGGGCACUGUUGGUGCAUUCACAAUGGGUAAUUCAAAAAAUGGCUCUUGAAUCAUCGGAGUGGGUGCAUACACCCGCUUCUCUUCAAGAUCAAUCUUUCGAGCUACCACGCUCCCCCUGAUCAGCUCAUCCUCUAGAAAUACGGCGUGUCUCGUUUCUACAAACUUUGUAUAUCUGUCUGGACAGUAGAAACGAUAACCCUUUGAUUUUUCUGGGUAGCCAAUGAAAUGGCAACUGACUGUUUUGGGAUCUAGCUUUCCAAUA
Molecule: long non-coding RNA, 522 nt
Filed under: Sorghum bicolor (sorghum)
Lineage: Eukaryota; Viridiplantae; Streptophyta; Magnoliopsida; Poales; Poaceae
Description: long non-coding RNA (SBIC_LNC015406)
Source: RNAcentral